This 406-nucleotide ribosomal RNA is filed under the name uncultured bacterium. RNAcentral's name for it is "partial 16S ribosomal RNA". It matches the Rfam family "Bacterial small subunit ribosomal RNA", at positions 30 to 526 of the family's 1533-position model. The record is from RNAcentral.
AUUGAACGCUGGCGGCAGGCCUAACACAUGCAAGUCGAACGAGUGGCGGACGGGUGAGUAAUGUCUGGGAACCUGCCUAAUGGAGGGGGAUAACUACUGGAAAGGGUAGCUAAUACCGCAUACCAUCGGAUGUGCCCUGAUGGGCUUAGCUAUUAGGUGGGGUAAUGGCUCACCUAGGCGACGAGCCCUAGCUGGUCUGAGAGGAGGAUCAGCCGCACUGGGACUGGGACACGGCCCAGACUCCUACGGUAGGCAGCAUUGGGGAAUAUUGGACAAUGGGGGCAAGCCUGAUGCAGCCAUGCCGCGUGUAUGAAGAAGGCCCUGGGGUUGUAAAGUACUUUUAGUGGGGAGACGUUACCGACAGAAGAAGCACCGGCUAACUCCGUGCCAGCAGCCGCGGUAAUUC